GGAAGAAGAAGACCCAGCCUGAUGGAAUUAUCCUCCCAGACUUCCCAAGCCAUUAUCCCAGACAAUGAAGCCAUGAAAGGGAUCUCUGCUGCAAAUUUUUCAAGCCUCCUUACUCC
Gopherus evgoodei (Goodes thornscrub tortoise) is the source of this 116-nucleotide long non-coding RNA. RefSeq lists it as uncharacterized. The record is from RefSeq and is a predicted model, not a curated record. Lineage: Eukaryota; Metazoa; Chordata; Testudines; Testudinidae. The transcript is spliced from 4 exons.